This 49-nucleotide small nuclear RNA is filed under the name Cervus elaphus hippelaphus. Lineage: Eukaryota; Metazoa; Chordata; Mammalia; Artiodactyla; Cervidae. The record is from RNAcentral.
UCUUCUCUUCCUUUGGAGACUAAGAGGGAGAGGAAGCUGUCUGAACGGU